Molecule: transfer RNA, 74 nt
Filed under: Arenicella xantha
Lineage: Bacteria; Pseudomonadati; Pseudomonadota; Gammaproteobacteria; Arenicellales; Arenicellaceae
Rfam family: tRNA
About the family: Transfer RNA (tRNA) molecules are approximately 80 nucleotides in length. Their secondary structure includes four short double-helical elements and three loops (D, anti-codon, and T loops).
Source: Rfam by way of RNAcentral
GGGCCCUUAGCUCAGUUGGUUAGAGCGCUCGACUCAUAAUCGAUCGGUCGAAGGUUCAAGUCCUUCAGGGCCCA